CCUACGGGCGGCUGCAGUGGGGAAUAUUGCGCAAUGGGCGAAAGCCUGACGCAGCGACGCCGCGUGAGGGACGACGGCCUUCGGGUUGUAAACCUCUUUCAGCAGGGAUGAAGCGAAAGUGACAGUACCUGCAGAAGAAGCACCGGCUAACUACGUGCCAGCAGCCGCGGUAAUACGUAGGGUGCAAGCGUUGUCCGGAAUCAUUGGGCGUAAAGAGCUCGUAGGCGGUCUGUCGCGUCGGAUGUGAAAACCCAGGGCUCAACCCUGGGCCUGCA
RNAcentral lists this ribosomal RNA (275 nucleotides) under uncultured bacterium. RNAcentral's name for it is "partial 16S ribosomal RNA". It matches the Rfam family "Bacterial small subunit ribosomal RNA", at positions 338 to 625 of the family's 1533-position model. The record is from RNAcentral.